Small nucleolar RNA from Heterocephalus glaber (naked mole-rat), 130 nucleotides. The record is from Ensembl. Lineage: Eukaryota; Metazoa; Chordata; Mammalia; Rodentia; Bathyergidae.
AGCCUUAUUCUAGAUUAGAAUGGGCACUGUUGGUAUCCAAAACUGGUCAGUGUGGCUAAAAUUGGGACACAGGUCAGGCUUCCGUUACAAUAAGUGUAUUACAGUGGUGACAGUGACCCCUGUAACAUUU